GUCAUGCUUCAUAAUCCUGAAAUGAGAAGAAGCAUCUGGUGAGAGCGAGAGAGCGCUUACCGAUGGAGAGAAUCGUUGGCGGAAAAUUCAAGCUGGGGCGCAAGAUCGGCAGUGGAUCGUUCGGUGAAAUCUACUUGGCCACUCAUGUUGAUACUUUCGAGAUCGUUGCUGUCAAGAUUGAGAGUAGCAAGACUAAACACCGUCAGUUGCUUUAUGAGGCCAAGGUGUAUAAUAAUCUGCAAGGAGGGAGUGGUGUUGCAGGCAUAAAAUGGUGUGGAGUUGAUGGAGAUGACCAUAUUCUCAUCCUUGAUCUGCUGGGACAGAGUCUUGAGGACCUAUUUGUUUAUUGUGGGAGGAAGUUUUCACUGAAAACAGUGCUAAUGCUGGCUGAUCAGAUGAUUACAAGAAUUGAAUAUGUGCAUUCUAAAGGGUUUCUGCAUAGAGACAUCAAACCUGAAAAUUUUCUCAUGGGUCUUAGCAGGAAAGAAAAUCAGGUCAACAUAAUUGAUUUUGGACUUGCAAAAAGGUAUCGAGAACCCAUGACAAAUUGUCAUAUUCCUUAUAGAGAGAACAAAAACUUAACAGGCACUGCUCGUUAUGCAAGUUGCAAUACUCAUCUAGGAAUUGAGCAAAGCCGUCGAGAUGAUUUGGAGUCUCUUGGCUAUGUACUUUUGUACUUUAUGAGAGGAAGUCUUCCUUGGCAGGGUCUGAAAGCUGCCACAAAAAAGGAAAAAUAUGACAAAAUAUGUGACAAGAAGCUAUCAAUUCCAAUUGAGGUGCUAUGCAAGUCUUGCCCUCCGGAGUUUGCAUCCUACCUACAUUAUUGCCAUUCAUUAACAUUUGAUCAGCGCCCUGAUUAUGGAUUCCUGAAGCGCCUGUUUCGUGACCUGUUUAUUCAUGAAGGAUAUCAGUUUGAUUAUACAUUUGAUUGGAUGAUUCUGAAGUACCAGCGAUCACAAAGGACAAAGACACAAACCCAGUCAUCUAAUUUGCAGUGGGUUUCUGGAACCAGUCAACCAUUGUCAAUUAAUACAGACAGGCAUCAAGGGGGCAAUAAUGCUUCUAAUUUAGCUGAACUAAUGAAGCAUAGAGGAUCUAGUAAUGUUGCUUGUCCCACUGUUCACAUGCAUUUAAGGGCAACAAUGGCGCAGGAUACAAGUAAUGAUAAUCUUAUUGAGAAAAAUACCAUGGGCAAUGCAGCAAUGGCUCCUACUUCACUUUCUUUGGCCAGUGCCUUCAAAAAGAAUCCUUUAAAACUAGAGGAGCAAAAUGAAGCCACAAAUUUCAGUUAUGAACUUGGGGGCAAGACUCGUGCUUCAAGCAGUUGGUUGCCAUCAUUUAACUGCAUUUCUUCGGCCAAGUGAUUGCUGUAUGCCUGUGUGUGAAUGUGAGCAUUCCCCGAAGCUGUUACAGAGUUGCAAAGGCCAUGAAGUUUGGACUGCAUGUGGAUGGCAUUGUGUAUUUUUCUCAAGGUGACUACUAAGUGCAAACGCACUGGAUGGUGCUAGAACUUGGCCUAUGAAGGCUUGAUUGUAUCUACACAUGUAGAUGGAAAAAAUGACUAAGCCAGUUCCAUGUUUUGUUGCCAGGGAUGACAUGGUUUUACAGCUUUUAUUCUUCUGUCAAUGCAUCAUAUUUCUUUCUGUUUGAUUCAACUAGUCCUAGAGCUCGGUGUUGAGUUGCUUUAUAUUCGUAUUAUUUCAUUUCUUUGGAUAUAACUCUUGGAUGUUCACCUCAAUUAGUUUUAACCUAGGUACACAAGUCCUUCAGAAUAUGAAAGUGCAAUCUAGUGCUUCAGAUCUCGAAGGUUUAAAUGUUGGGGAUAUUGUUACCGGAGGGGUGAUGACAAAUUGACAUGCUUUUCGUUGAAAUACUACUUUCUGUUGCUGUAUGGAUUUUGCUGUCAAUUAUGUUUCCGGGGAUGCAAGGUAAUAAAUGUAGCCGUACAUGUGCAUGUUAUUUUAUUCUUUAGACAUUCCAGUAUCCUGCUAUGGUGGACUUUGUAUCAGCUUCUUUCUUGUUGAGGUAUUCUUCCAAUCCCCAACCAUGGCUUCAAAAAAUGAUGGUGCUCAAUGUAAAAAUGAUGGCUGUGAGCUAACUGUCAUGGCCAUUAUGAAUGUUAAGUAAUGGGUAAUGGACAUUGCACCCGUGAAUUGAUUUUUUGCAUUAGCAAACUUGUUAAAAACAUGCAGAUUCAAAUGUUUUUAUCCCAAAAUCCCACAUAAUGCUUCAAAUUAUUUAGUAAAUUUUAAUCCAUCUAAAAAUAAGACAUGCUACAAGUAUUGAAUCUUAUGUUGGUUUCUGUAGCUGCCAUUGGCAAGAAGCAUGUAUUUGGUACUUUAAACUACUUUAUUGAUUACAUAUGCAAUUUGAACUAAGAAAUCAGAAAUGUAAAAAAAUAUAUAAAAAAUAUAAUGUUCAUAUUUCAAACAAGAUACUUAAAUGCAUAUAGCUAUAGAAUUAGAAUGUGUUUUUAUCUCUAGAUUAGGUGUAAGAAAAACAUUUAGAAAAAAAAAAAAAGAAACAUUUUAAGGAACUUACAAUAUGCAGAUAUGUAUGUCAUUUUAAUAAAGAAAGAAGUAGAUUUUAGUUAUUAAAAAAAUAAUACUGAAAUAUUAAAGUAAAUAAACCUAAAAUUAUUUUUUUUAAAAAAUUACUAAUUAAAAUAAACCACUUAAAAUUGAGUUUCUAAGCUUUAGUAUAUGAAAGAGUGAAAAAAAAAAAAAAAAAUGCAAAGAAGGAAUCAAAAACCUAUUUUGGGCAUUCAUAGCCAGUUUGACCGUUGUCAUACACAUUCUAGGGACCUCCACUCUUGGAGAUCUCUAAAUGUUUAGGGACAUGGAGGAGCUUUCUUCUCUGUUGAUGAUGUUGGAAAGUUGUUAUUCUUCUUUCUAGAAUGGAUAGUCAUUAUUGGUUCUUAAAUUCUUUGUGAAUUUAUUUUUGUAAAUCUUUCUUUGAUCAUUUUACUAGUGCUAGCUCCAUUUUUUUGCUCCAUAAAAAUAAUUUGGAAGGCUGAAGUUCCCUAAAAAAUUAAGGCUUUUAUAUGGUUGGUUGGUUCUUAGUAGAGUUAACUUCAAUAAUAUGUUGUAGAUUAGGAGACCUUUGAAAACACUCUAUGCUGAUGUCUGCUAAUUAUGUUUUGACAGUUCAGAACAAGUUCUCAUUUGUUUUUGUACUGUGACUUUUCUUGGAAGAUGUGGAAUAAGCUUUUAGAGUUAUUGGGAGAAAGUUGGGUUUCCAGUUAAGGUGGAGAAUUCGUUGAUUAUAUUCCUUUUUCUGGUUUUGGUAAAAGCAAAGAUGCGGUCAUUGGAUGUGCAGUUCUCCCAAUGGUGUUGGGAUUAUGGCUGCAGCCUGCAACAUAAUGUGCGUAUGGUUACAGAAAAAAAAAUUGAAUCUCUCUCUUUGUUACGGGACAAGGUUCAUUAUUUAGCAUCGUUUUGGUGCGCUGGUGUUGGUUGCUUUAAAGGAGUGAGAUCCUCUUAAAUCCAACGGGAUUGGUGCUUUAUUAAUUUGAAGGGGAGCUUAGGUGCUACACUAAAGUUGUCACUAUUUGACCUAAGGUCAUGGGUUUGAGGCGUCUCUUGCAAAAAUGCAAGGAAUUAUUCUCCCAUGAAACUGGUGAAGGAUAAGCAUAGGAAUGAUUACCCCUUUCAUUUUUUCUAGACCGCCUUUGAUGUGGAAAUAUUCAAUAAAGGAGGAAGAAUGUUGGAUAUCUGAUAUGCCCUGAUAAAAUGGAGCAAGAAGUCUAAAUGGAAACCAGCUGCGUCUUAUACUGAGUGAAAUAACGGUGAUGGCAUCCAUUGGCUUUGCUUCUGUAUUUCUCCAUGAAAGAGUAAAGUCCAGUUAAAGAGAGUUGAUUACUUGAUUUAGGCACUGCAGAGAAGAGAGGGCGUCUGAUCAGGCAGCAUACCAUGUGAUUAGGUGAGUUUCUACGUGCUUAUUGAUAAUUGCGAACCAUACAUUGAACAUAAGUAUUAAAAAGAUAAUUUUUAUUUAAGAGAGAGAGAGAGAGAGAGAGAGAGAGAGAGAGUUUAAAGGGUUUCUUGAUUGUGAAAUACGAAUCAUAUAUAAAACUAACAAUUUCUUGAUUGUGAAAUGCA
This is an RNA transcript of Malania oleifera, 4100 nucleotides long. It is a transcript of the gene named casein kinase 1-like protein 3, with no coding region annotated. Lineage: Eukaryota; Viridiplantae; Streptophyta; Magnoliopsida; Santalales; Ximeniaceae. The record is from RefSeq and is a predicted model, not a curated record. The transcript is spliced from 18 exons.